UUUUAUAAAAUUUAAAACCAAUCGGGGCCACCCGUCCUUCGGUGAAUCAUAGUAAGGGAUAGAAUUGCACGGAAUCUGGCCGGCGAGAGGUCAUUCAAAUUUUUGACCUAUCAAGUUUUGACGGGAGUGUAGCGGACCCCCGUGGCCUUUAAUGGUGAAAGAAAAUUCGGGUUCGGAUUCGGGGAGGGAGCCUGAGAAAAGGCUACCACAUCCAAGGAAAGCAGCAGGAAGGCAAAAUAAACAAACCUGAAACAGGGAGGAAGAGCCAAUAAAAAACUAUCCCGGGCCUCUCAGGUUUGGUAAAUAGAAAUAGGAGAAUUUUAAUCCCUUAAAGAGGAUUCAUUGGAGGGU
RNAcentral lists this ribosomal RNA (351 nucleotides) under uncultured eukaryote. Its description in RNAcentral is "bacterial SSU rRNA". It matches the Rfam family "Eukaryotic small subunit ribosomal RNA", at positions 203 to 556 of the family's 1831-position model. The record is from RNAcentral.